UUUUGGGAGCUUUCCCUUCCGUGUCACGGCAAACUUUUGGCAAGCUCACUGGCUCUUUCUCUCAGUUACAUCUUCAUCCCACUUGGUCACAAGGGAAGUUUGAGACUGCUUGUAAGCACAAAGCGAGCUGUUUGACCACAUGUUAACACGUGUUUUGUUUACUACACACAUUUCACACAUUUCUAAAUGAGAGCAUGGCAGAAAACAGAAGUAUAAAGUCAAGAUCUAACAAAUCCAUCCAGACUUAUUUUAUUGCAAACAUGAAUACGAAUUUUUCAACAAAAAUUUAAAAUCUGGGACAAAUGCUCUAUUGGACAAGAUGUCAGGAAAUAGUGCAUACAUUCUUUUGUGUGACAUGCUUCUGUGAGCCUGACACCUUCAGAAUUCGCCAGACAAGAAGUGGAAAAUCUAGAGCCAACAUAUCUAAACUCCAGAGAGGUUUUCAACUGCCAAGAAGGCAUGAGUGUUGAUAUUCACUAAAUAGGCCACUGAAGAAUGUCAAUAUAUGUGACAGAUUAAAGAUGGCUACAAUUCUUUGAUACUCUUCUCAUUGAGAGGUAAGGUCUGUGUCCCUUCUCCUUGAAUCUGAGUGGACUCAUAACCUACUUUGACCUAUAGAAUAUGGCACAAGUUCCAAUAUUUGUGCCAGUUUGUAGAAAGGGCAUUAGUAGACUUGCCACUUCCGCCUCCUAUGUCUUGGAAUGCUUGAUCUGGGGAAAGUUGGCUGCCCUGUAAGCAAGCUAACUAAUGAGACUGCCAUGCCAUGAGAAAGCCCAAGGUAGACACACACAGACAGAGAUCCUCAAAUAGCUACCACGAUUGUAGCCCUCUCAAUCCAGGCAUCAGGCCUGUGAAUGAGAAAACAUUCCUAUGACUCCGUCCUCACCUACUAUUUGACUGCAACUGCAUAAGAGAUGCCAAAGGAGAACCACUCAGAUGAGCCAACAGAACAAUGAAAAAAAAAUUGUUUUAAUACUCAACAUUUAUUGAGCACUUAAGUAUGUGCCAGGUACUUUUCAAAACAUAUUCACAUGAAUCAACUCAUUUAAGUAUCAAAACCACUCAAGUAAUUAUCCUUAUUUGACUAAGGAGGAAACUGAGCAGCAAUGAGAUUAAAUAAUGUUUAAAGUCACACACUAUUAAGUGAUAGAUGACUCUAGAGGCCCUGGACCACCACUGUGCUAACCUACCUCUAGGAAGUAAGUGAGGCACUAUACUGUCAUCUUACAUCUCUCAGUUCAUAGGCCCCAUUUACAAUAUUGUGUGUGUGUGUGUGUUUGCCUGCAUAAUAAUUUAUGCCAACAUCCAUUAAACUCAUCAAGUAUAUUUUCAGCUUCAUCAUAUCAGAUGGCAAAAUGUACAUAUACUAUUGACAGUAUAAAAAAGAUUAAAUUUGAUAGUAAAAUCAAUAUCAUUAAUAAAGAAUAUAUCUAUAUCAUAUACAUAUAAUUCAAUUACUUAUAUAGUACCACACAUGCUUCUUCCCUCAAAAGAGAAAAACAAAGAAAUACUAAUUCUUGAAUGAGAAUCACUCGUAUGUAAUCUCCCGGCAUACAAUGUUGCCAGCACAAAUCAUGUAGCGUUAAGAGUGGUCUGUUCUUGAAAGUUUUAUAGGCAGGAGUAGUUCGGAAUUCCCAAAGAGGGAGUCAUGUUAAUACAAGGAAUAUACAAAUCACUUUUUAAAUUAAAAGUGUUAAUUCUGCUUUUAUACACCUUAUAUCCUCAGUGUUUCUACCCUUACUCUAUUUUUAUAAUUUCCAUAGCUUCUUUUCUAUCUUUAACUUAUUUUUACAUUAUAAUACAAAGAUCAAUUUGUACUCUAAGGAAGCCAUUUCUUGCCAAUCAGGCUUCUGGUAGGAGAAAUGACUGAUUUAGUUUUGUUAUAUGCACAAAACCAGCAACAUUCCAUACAAGUAAGGAGAUCAGCAGCAACAACUGGAUUGUGCCCCCAGCAGUAUCAUACUAAACAUUUGUGUUUCUGUGCCAAAAAUUCAGGAAUAAGACCAACAAGCUUAAAUAUACAUCACAUUAUAUUAAUUGAAAAAGUCUUCUCAUCUGUCCUCUCCAAUAUCAACUUAUUUGCUGUGGCCCAAGGUGAACUUUUAAUUGUACAAAAUUUGAAAAUUGAUCUAGAAAUAGUGGAAAGGCAUCCUUGCUUUGUAAAACAUUUCAUUUUAUUCUACUCCUCGCCAACUUUAAAAACCAUUCUGGAACUUCUUUCAAAAUAUUCCUUACCACUGUUUCUAAUCUUUCUCACCCUCUUAUCUCCUUGAUACCAUCUUUUUCUUCUUACUUUCACUACAGGAAUGAGUUUGGUAUGUGCUAGGAUGCCAUAAACAAUGCACUAAUAUGCUUACUGAAAUAAAGUUUUCAUAGAACAAUAGUAUAAUGUCUGUUCUACUUGUGAAACCAGUGGAACCAAGUCUAUCCCACGAUUACUUAUCAGAACAUUUAUUUCAAAACAAUUUGUAUUUUCUGAGCAAGGCAUGUUUCAUAAGUCAAAGCAUAAUUAUUGUCAAAGAAUCACAAAUUUAUUUGGGCACUAAGUAGCAAACAAAAAUUCUCAGAGGGUAUAAAGAGAAGAGUGUGAAGCUCUCUAUAUAUUCUCUUACCAAGUGGCAGGUGAGGGAAAGUCAUGAAGAGUAAAGUUAUAUUUAUUACUUAACAAAAAUAUACAAUCUUACAACAGCUUUGAAAUGGACACAUUCGAAUGCCCCUCCAAUUGCUAUCAAGUAUAUGAUGUCAACAUUAUAAUUAUAGAGCCAUGGUAAUACCGUUAGUUGAGAGCAUUAAAAAUGGUUGUUUUGGUCAUAGUACACAAUCUUAAAUUAGAAUUGUAUGAAGUAAUUUGUUUUGCCUGCCUCUUUUAAAGAAUUAAAUAUUAUUUUAUCAAAAUGUAUAACUAAAGUGAAAGCUGUUGUUGCCAUACUGUCCUCUUUGGCAAUCAACUAAAUCUCAAAUUAUCCAAUAACCUAAACCUACAAAUUUCCAAGCACUAUGCUAGGAUCCUCAGUUUGUCAUCAGACAAUGGGCGUAUUGAUUUUAAUCUUGUUAAACUUAUAAGAUAAAAUUGUGAACUUAUGAUCAGGGAGCAUAGCCUCCAUUCAUCCUUUAUCUAAAUAAAAACCAGAUAUGUUACCAAAUAAUCAUAAUUUCACAUAAAAGAUACUACAAAAGAGAUACAGGGAAAGUGAGAAAAUGCCAUGAAUUAAUUCUUCUAAGAAUCAGAGAUGGCCUCAGUGAAUGGGGAUAUUAGUCUGUGAUUUAUAGGAGGUUGUCAGUAAGACAAGAGCAGGAGAAAGGCAAUUGAGGCAAAGGAUUUUUCUUGGAAAGGCACUAAGGUAUGGUCAUGCAGAAUAUGUUCGGAGAAUUUCCUAGUCUUGGGUGGCUAGAUCAUAGAAUAGGUGGAAGGAGAGGAUGAAGGUGACAUUAGAAUUGGAUUGUGUUGGGCCAAAACGUCAUACUAAGGAAUUCACAUUUUAUCCCAAAGUAAUGGAAAACCAAAAGAAACUCUAAAGCAAGUAUGAAAUGAACACAUAUAUUCUGACAUCGGCAUGUAGAACAGGUGAGGCUGGAGAGACAGGAUCAAGGAGCCAGAAAUAAGGCCACCACUUGAACAGAAAUGAGAGGAGUAAUUGUGUAAUGGAAAAUGGAUUACAUAUCACUCAAACUUUAUGAUGAAUGCCAGCAUUUUAGAUCUGCUCUUUGAGAGAUGUAUUUGAAUAAUUCAGUUAGCGUAGUCUCUACAGGGCAUUUUCAAUUCUGUGUAUGGUUUAUUCUUAGAGUGGCCAGAAGGUAUUAUUCUAUUCACAAUGCAACCUUUUCCAAAAUAAAGAGCAAUGGCUUUUUCCCUCACAUUUGCUUUUCUGCUAAAAGAAACAUUAGACCUAGUUUUACUUAUGAGUGAAAAAUAUAUUGUUCUCAUUUAUGGAGGAGUAUUACAUAUUAUAUGAUGUAUUGGUUAGAAAAUUACGCACUUGAAAAUAUACAAAAAUAGAAUGAUGCCUUUACCCUUUCCAUUUUGCAUGCAAGAAAGGAAGGGAUUUUUGUUCUCUUCUCUCCAUGGCACCGUAGAAACACCAUAAACUGUGAGGGAAGGAGUUUUGACACCGUACUACAUUAUGUUUACACUGAGGAGAGAGUAGGCAAAAUGCAGGAAUCCAAAGUCAAGGAAGAAAUAGAAAUGUAUCAGAUUGUUGGAGUAACAUGUCAAUUGAGAUAUCUCCUUCUGUUAAGAGUACACAUGUAUCAAUCUGUUUAGUUUUCAACUGAUAAAUGCACAUGGGGCAUCAUGAAAAUAAUAUUAUUCCACAUGCAGAUUUAAGGAUCUUACUUAAUAAAUGAUGCCUGUGAUUAGCAUUUAUCUUAAUGCUAAUGAUACAGAUUUAUGAAUCUAUUUGCCUAGACUGCCGAAUUGAUGAAUGUUACCCUGAAGAGUUUUCAAAUGAGAACAUAAUCCAAACCAAUGUUAAAUAGAUAACAUUAUUUUGCAUUCUCCAGAAUAAAAUGAGAGGGAUAGCAUUUAAGAACACACAUGAUAGAUGCAUAUUUGACACCAAGAAAAUAUACUAGAGUAUAAUAGUCAGAAUUUUAUGUAAUUUUUCUUGUGAGAGAGAUUAAUUAUCAGAAUGCACAGAGGAAGAUAAAUACAGAUUAGGUAAUGUUGUAAACAAAUUCACAAUUGCUGAACCACUCUAAGCUUUAUUUUCAUAACCAAGCAGCCAGCACUGAGCUUCUGCUUCCAAUUAGUCAGAAAAAGAAUUAACCUUUAACUAUUAUAUUCCAAAAGUGAGCUAGGUAGAAAUUAUUCAUAGAAGAUGAAAACAAAUAAAAUGAGUAUAAUUUAAACAAGUGAUGUAAUCCAGUUUGAAAAGUCAUAACACUUCUAUGUGUUCCAUUAUCUCAUUUUUCCUACCUCUCUGUUUAUGCUUAUGCUUGAGAAUAGUUUUGUUUGCUUGAUUUUGACCUCCACUUUCUUUUGCAUUAGCUGUACUUCUCUAUUAUCAAUAUUGAACUAAAAGGCAAGCACUUUCUAACUAGUAUUCAGUUCAGUUGGAAACAGGAUCUGGUGAUCAAUGAGAACUUCAGAAAAUAAAAACAAAAGAAAGCAUAACAGAAAUCACUACACAAUAAAGGGGCUGUACACUGUAAAUAUUAAAAUUUUAGUAGAAACAUUCCCACAAGAGUGGGGAAUUGCCUUAGUCAGAUCAGGCUGCUGUAACAGAAUACCAGAGAGUGCGUGGCAACAGAAACUUACUUCUCACUAAGUUCUGGAGGCUGGAAAUCCAAAAUCAGGGUGCCAGCAUGGUUGAGUUCUUCCAGAUUGCAGACUGUCGACUUCUCAUUGUAUCUUCACAUGGCAGAGAACAGAGAGAGGAAGCAAGCUUUCUCAACUCUUAUAAGGGCACUAAUCCCAUUCAAGAGAGCUCCAACCUCAUGAACGCAUCUAAUCCUAUCUCCCAAAGGCCCCAUCUCCUUACCAUCACAUGGCAGGUAGGGUUUCGACAUACACAUUUUGUGAAGACACAAACAUUCAGUCAAUACCAGCAGUCAUAUUUAAAUGAAUAAAUACAAUUAAAUAUGGAGGAGGAUUUACUCAAAUAACGUGUCACAAAAGUGAAGAAAAAAAUACUACGUAUACCAUGUAUUUUAUUGGGUAUGUAUUCAUAUAGGAGUGUGUGUGUGUAUUUGUGUCUGUGUGUGAUCAACUUUUUUCUCUCAGAUACGUUCUCUUUUUUAAAAGAUAUAAUCAAAAGCCUGAAUUUUUCUUCAGAAAACACUUGUUUCAGACCAAGGAGGGUUACAUGAGAAUGCUUCAUAGUACAUUAUAAAAUAUAAAAAGCAAAACUUUCAUUAAAGACCAUAGAGUGUUCAAAGUGCUUCAUCUCAUCAAAAUAAUUACGGCUAACAUUCUGAGCUACAUAUUCGUAAGCAUCAGCUACGUAUUUUUAUUUAGCCUCAUUCAGUUUCUCAGAAAUUUGAGCUGGCCCUUAGAUUUUGAACUGUUUUAAAUAUCACACUUUAUUAUUUGCUAUUCCAAAGGAGCAAGAAUAAUGAAGCUCCAAGUAUAACAAAUUUAGUUUUUAUGAUAUGAUGAAAUAUGCAUUAUUAUUUUUCUUUACUUCCAUAAUAAGGAAUAUUUUCAAUUGUAUAAUUAAAUAAACAAUUUAAAAUUAUUCAGCAGGCAGGCAGAUAAGCUUUUAUUCCUCGGUUUGUGUAACACUUCAAUUGAAAAACCAAACAGAAUAUUUUAUUUCUUCUUCAGUCCUCAACAUUUUUAGCAUAAAAUUAUUAAGGAGAUUUCCUCAUUAAGGACAAAUCAGUGAAAAAUUUAACCUCCUAUUAACUAUGGCCAUUGAAUGUCUUGUAGUGUAGAGUGUUGCAUGAAAACUGGAUUUUGAUUCAUUUUACAGUGAAACUCCCUUAAAAUCAUAAAACCUUACCUCAUCAACCAACAAUAAUUUUUACGGAUCUCGAAAAAUAAAAGCUCUGAUUUAUUGUAUAUUUGAACCAGGAAACAGUCUACAUAAUCAGUAAAAAGACAAUAAACAUACUUCGCUCUAUCAGCCAACAUCUGUGACAGAAUGCAGACUACCACUCACAAAUACAAAAGACUGAAAAAGAAUGUCCGUCAAAGGUUAACUACAAUAAUUUUUAUUUUCUAUUAUUAUAGUUUCUUUUACUUCCCCCAAAGGGAAAUGUUCUCUGUCAACCAUGUCAGCACAGAUUUAAUCCAGAUUUAAUACCUGAUUCCAAUGACAUCUGAUAUACAGAAGGGAAAAACUAUGUAGCUCUGGUUGUCAGUAAAGAAUACUCUGAUCAACCUCUGAUCUAGUGGAAAUACAAAUGAUAGAUGGUGAUUCAUUUUAAGAUAGUGAAAUAAAAGCAUUUAUAAUUCACUCCUCUCCUGUGAAAUUCCUCCCAAAAUAACAUAAAUAAUGAAAAAUUGGGAAAAACAAAAUAAAAACUAUGUAAUUAUAAGAAAUUAACAACAAAUGACGAUAAAUAGCUUUCAAAUAAUGAGACAUUUGCACUAUUAGAGAAAGGAAAUUGACUGACACAUAUCUUGGACAGGAUAUAGAUUUCACUAAGUUUCACAGUCCUGAGGCAUCCUCCCAAGACUUUGCUUGAGGUUGCCAUGAGAUGGGCAUGGAUAGGCAGGCGGAAAACAAAUUUGUCUUCAUAAGAUUCUAGGUACAUAUUCCCAAAUAGUAGAAAAUGGGGGUAAAGAACAAAUUGCUGAUAGACUAUAUAUGAUAGUUGUGAAACAGCCCGCUGGAUAAUAGAGAUGACUAGCAUUAUAGUGGGAAAGGGGAGGCAGAGGCAGUGUCAAUCACUAGCGUAUUAACAAUACAGAGAAAGUAAAACUAGGGAGCUUUACCUCUGUGAGCCACAUAGAUCACCCAAAAGUAAAAAAUAAGGAAAAAAUAUGGUCCCUGGGCAGAAGAUGAAACAUAUUUGGGGAGGUGGGCUUGAAAACUGAAAUUUAAAUAGCUACUGUGGGCCGAUCUGAUUCAUUCUCCCACCACUUCCCACACUGUAGUUCAGUAAAUAGCUGGCUUCAUUCAGUGAUUAAUAGAAAAAAACCAUCCUGGAACAUAGGCAAAGGAGGCAGAAACACAAUGAAAAAGUAGCUGAAGUUUUUACCAAAGAAAAUUUUUUUUUCAGGAAACAUAGGAAAAGUUUAUAUAAAUAGUUCUUUAUAGUCUCAAAUAAAUUAUAGACAUGAUCUCAUUAAUAGAGUGAGAAGCUCAAAAAAAUAUAUAAUGUUUCAAUAAAGAGAUUAUAAAAAC
Equus caballus (horse) is the source of this 7793-nucleotide non-coding RNA. The record is from RefSeq and is a predicted model, not a curated record. NCBI's taxonomy places the organism in Eukaryota, Metazoa, Chordata, Mammalia, Perissodactyla, Equidae.